GAUGAACGCUGGCGGCGUGCCUAAUACAUGCAAGUCGAGCGAACAGAUAAGGAGCUUGCUCCUUUGACGUUAGCGGCGGACGGGUGAGUAACACGUGGGUAACCUACCUAUAAGACUGGGAUAACUUCGGGAAACCGGAGCUAAUACCGGAUAAUAUUUCGAACCGCAUGGUUCGAUAGUGAAAGAUGGUUUUGCUAUCACUUAUAGAUGGACCCGCGCCGUAUUAGCUAGUUGGUAAGGUAACGGCUUACCAAGGCGACGAUACGUAGCCGACCUGAGAGGGUGAUCGGCCACACUGGAACUGAGACACGGUCCAGACUCCUACGGGAGGCAGCAGUAGGGAAUCUUCCGCAAUGGGCGAAAGCCUGACGGAGCAACGCCGCGUGAGUGAUGAAGGUCUUCGGAUCGUAAAACUCUGUUAUUAGGGAAGAACACACGUGUAAGUAACUGUGCACGUCUUGACGGUACCUAAUCAGAAAGCCACGGCUAACUACGUG
Molecule: ribosomal RNA, 497 nt
Filed under: uncultured bacterium
Lineage: Bacteria
Description: partial 16S ribosomal RNA
Rfam family: Bacterial small subunit ribosomal RNA
Source: RNAcentral